Molecule: long non-coding RNA, 664 nt
Filed under: Taeniopygia guttata (zebra finch)
Lineage: Eukaryota; Metazoa; Chordata; Aves; Passeriformes; Estrildidae
Description: lncRNA (ENSTGUG00000020976.1)
Source: RNAcentral
CCUGCUCUGGCCAUGCUCUCCAGAGAACAAUGUCUGUUACCAGCUCUGGCAGCUCUGGCCUGGAAAUGGAGCGGGUGGCGUUUGUCCCAGGGCUCGGAACAUCAGCUGUGCAGCCAGCAAAGACAAAUGACCUUGAGCUGGCUUGACCUGCCAUCAUCUCUCAAUUGUUUAUGAGGAAGUUUAUUUCAUAAGCAAAAACCUCCUGCUGAAAAUACAGCUGAAACGCCACAGGAAGCUCCCCUGCAUCCCAGGCAUUGUUUUCCCAGCGGUGUGUUGUGCUGGCGUGAUGCACUGCUGACAGUAGCUAAAUACAGCUGGGACACCAGAUCCACGGGGAAAAUUCAGCCCUGAAAGUGACUCUGUCUGCCCGAGCCACCACGUUUCAAAAAUAUCAACUGCUCCUAAAUUUGUCUGAUGGAAGGAAAAUAUUUCUGUGGUGGCUGUGGCUGGUACAAGGGCAGCUGGAAUUUUGCUGGAUGCUGUUAGGUCUGGAUGUACAGAUGAAGAAGAGCAGAGUUUGCUGGAAAAAAUAUCCCUCCUGCUGUGACUCCAGCAUCUUGGGAUGUGGCAGCUCAGGUGCAGCCCGGUGCUCUGGAUGCCCCCAGGCCGGGAGUGCCAGAAACACAUUUGGACAAAGCACAUGAGUGGAAGAGAGAGAUGUGAC